UAAUGAAUAACUUUUAUUUUUUAUAGAUUUUGGCAUAUUGCAUAUUGCCAAGGGAGAUGUUAACUGAGGAUUCCAUGCCAUUAAUGUGCAGGCUGUUGCUGACGCCAGCAUGAGCAAUAUCUGAGCACCAAUGAUGAGGGUCAUCUGCUGGGAGAUAGUGGGUAUCCUUUAAGGACUAACCUGAUGACCUCUUAACCUCAUCCCUCCCAUGCUGCGGAACAGGCCUACAAUGACCAUCUAUGUAGAGGAUAUCUGCAUGCCACUGGUGGAUGUUGGCCUUUCAAGUCCAAUAAGUGCUGUGAAAUAUCAAAUGUG
Long non-coding RNA from Dreissena polymorpha, 315 nucleotides. RefSeq lists it as uncharacterized. The record is from RefSeq and is a predicted model, not a curated record. The transcript has 3 exons. Lineage: Eukaryota; Metazoa; Mollusca; Bivalvia; Myida; Dreissenidae.